ACUUAGCCAAAAAACACUAUGUGAGGAAAGAAGACGAUUGCUACCUAUGCACAAUUUUAAAUUAGGUUUAAACAUCGCCACUAUAAAACAUUAGGUAAGUUUUAGUACGUAGGUAUGCUGAAUCUUCAACUUGUUCGAGUGAAUUCUUUAUGGCAACU
This 158-nucleotide small RNA is filed under the name Drosophila guanche. It matches the Rfam family "R2 RNA element", at positions 1 to 167 of the family's 212-position model. Rfam says of the family: This family represents the 3' UTR region of the R2 retrotransposable element. This family is known to interact with the R2-encoded reverse transcriptase in a reaction known as target primed reverse transcription (TPRT). The record is from RNAcentral. Lineage: Eukaryota; Metazoa; Arthropoda; Insecta; Diptera; Drosophilidae.